Molecule: small RNA, 108 nt
Filed under: Aureimonas sp. Leaf460
Lineage: Bacteria; Pseudomonadati; Pseudomonadota; Alphaproteobacteria; Hyphomicrobiales; Aurantimonadaceae
Description: rpsB sRNA
Rfam family: rpsB sRNA
Source: Rfam by way of RNAcentral
CACACACGGAAUUCGGGACGAUCGUUCGAAUCUUCGAAGGAUCAGCCCACCGGUUGCAGCCAUGAGGCUGCUUCGUUCCGUGGAGGCUAAACCGGUAAAAGGAACGUU